Molecule: ribosomal RNA, 410 nt
Filed under: Yersinia pestis
Lineage: Bacteria; Pseudomonadati; Pseudomonadota; Gammaproteobacteria; Enterobacterales; Yersiniaceae
Description: bacterial SSU rRNA
Rfam family: Bacterial small subunit ribosomal RNA
Source: RNAcentral
CAAGUCGACCGGCAGCGGGAAGUAGUUUACUACUUUGCCGGCGAGCGGCGGACGGGUGAGUAAUGUCUGGGGAUCUGCCUGAUGGAGGGGGAUAACUACUGGAAACGGUAGCUAAUACCGCAUGACCUCGCAAGAGCAAAGUGGGGGACCUUAGGGCCUCACGCCAUCGGAUGAACCCAGAUGGGAUUAGCUAGUAGGUGGGGUAAUGGCUCACCUAGGCGACGAUCCCUAGCUGGUCUGAGAGGAUGACCAGCCACACUGGAACUGAGACACGGUCCAGACUCCUACGGGAGGCAGCAGUGGGGAAUAUUGCACAAUGGGCGCAAGCCUGAUGCAGCCAUGCCGCGUGUGUGAAGAAGGCCUUCGGGUUGUAAAGCACUUUCAGCGAGGAGGAAGGGGUUGAGUUUAAU